RNAcentral lists this ribosomal RNA (465 nucleotides) under uncultured bacterium. RNAcentral's name for it is "partial 16S ribosomal RNA". It matches the Rfam family "Bacterial small subunit ribosomal RNA", at positions 28 to 507 of the family's 1533-position model. The record is from RNAcentral.
GACGAACGCUGGCGGCGUGCUUAACACAUGCCAGUCGAACGGAAAGGCCCUGCUUGCAGGGUACUCGAGUGGCGAACGGGUGAGUAACACGUGGGUGAUCUGCCCUGCACUUCGGGAUAAGCCUGGUAAACUGGGUCUAAUACCGGAUAGGAGCCAUUUUUAGUGUGAUGGUUGGAAAGUUUUUUCGGUGUAGGAUGAGCUCGCGGCCUAUCAGCUUGUUGGUGGGGUAAUGGCCUACCAAGGCGGCGACGGGUAGCCGGCCUGAGAGGGUGGACGGCCACAUUGGGACUGAGAGACGGCCCAGACUCCUACGGGAGGCAGCAGUGGGGAAUAUUGCACAAUGGGCGCAAGCCUGAUGCAGCGACGCCGCGUGGGGGAUGACGGCCUUCGGGUUGUAAACUCCUUUCGCUAGGGACGAAGCUUUUUGUGACGGUACCUAGAUAAGAAGCACCGGCUAACUACGUG